AAUGUUUUAAUUCAAUUCAUAAAGAUCCCAGUUCUGUGUUGAAUUUGCAAUUAUAAAUACUUGCAGGAAGUGAAGAAGAAGAAAACAGGGAAAGGGAAAAGAACCAAGCAAACGCCAGUGAGACCAGUGAGCAUUGAGCAGGAAGAGAACCAACAAGAAGGGGCAGGAGUACACUGACGCGCACGACCAAGACCACAGCAUUCCAUUUCUAUUGUAUUAUAAUUAUCACUAAUAAAGAAUUAUUGUUGAA
Molecule: long non-coding RNA, 250 nt
Organism: Nerophis lumbriciformis (worm pipefish)
Lineage: Eukaryota; Metazoa; Chordata; Actinopteri; Syngnathiformes; Syngnathidae
Source: RefSeq, a predicted model, not a curated record